AAUCCAUAGGUUAAUGAGGCGAACCGGGGGAACUGAAACAUCUAAGUACCCCGAGGAAAAGAAAUCAACCGAGAUUCCCCCAGUAGCGGCGAGCGAACGGGGAGGAGCCCAGAGCCUGAAUCAGCAUGUGUGUUAGUGGAAGCGUCUGGAAAGGCGCGCGAUACAGGGUGACAGCCCCGUACACAAAAGCGCAUGUGCUGUGAGCUCGAUGAGUAGGGCGGGACACGUGGUAUCCUGUCUGAAUAUGGGGGGACCAUCCUCCAAGGCUAAAUACUCCUGACUGACCGAUAGUGAACCAGUACCGUGAGGGAAAGGCGAAAAGAACCCCGGCGAGGGGAGUGAAAAAGAACCUGAAACCGUGUACGUACAAGCAGUGGGAGCACCCUUUGGGUGUGACUGCGUACCUUUUGUAUAAUGGGUCAG
Molecule: ribosomal RNA, 423 nt
Filed under: Salmonella enterica
Lineage: Bacteria; Pseudomonadati; Pseudomonadota; Gammaproteobacteria; Enterobacterales; Enterobacteriaceae
Also listed under: 2 other names
Description: partial 23S ribosomal RNA
Rfam family: Bacterial large subunit ribosomal RNA
Source: RNAcentral